UCCAUCUUACCUUCUCAAAGUUACUUUCAAUUCAGUGCACAACUUGUAAUCUUCAAUGUGCGAGUUAUCAAGUAGUUGCUCCAGAAAAUGUAAAUCUUCUGCAUUUCUAGAUAUACCUUCCCCUACUCCAAUUGGUUGAGGAACACCGCGUGCUAAAGGAAGUAGAGGUACAAGAGCAGCAAAGCUAUGGGUCACACUCUGUCUGACAGACUGAUCACAAUCACUCAUGCAUCGUAAAAGAGGAACUACCAGCAGAGGAGCAUAAGGAACCAACUCAACACCAAGCCCCUGAACAAGAAAGCUAAUCAACAUGCCUGCUCCUUGUCGGGCAUGAACUGACGAUGCAUCUUCCAACAUAGGGAUAGCAUUUUCAACCACGGCUCCCAUAACUUUCACGGUCAUUGACUGGGCCAUGGAAGUGAUGCAGCGUGAAGCAGCUAGUCUAACUGCGACAUGAGAAUGUUUAACACAUUUAAAAAUGGAUAGGAGGAGUGUCAAAAGUUUUGGCUUCAACUCCUCAUUUAACAAGGGAGCAACAGACCGCACGACCUAUAAGAAAACCACAUUGCAUAUUAAACAGAAUACAUUUUGCAAGCAGUAAAACUGGUUCAAAUGCAUCUAUAUAAAUUUAAAGAAUCUACGGAACUAAUAAAAAAAGUAAUAAAAAAAAGUCGUCAAGCUAAGAAAUAUAACUAAACAAUAUAUAUACCAAACUUGAAACUAUUGACAUGCAUUAUAGUUUAAAAAGAUAACAUGUAUUCGUAACAAAUCAGCAUAAUCCACAGAAGUUGAUUAUUAUUUUUCAAUGCUCUUCUUUGUGAAUAAAAAAAAAAACUAAACUCUCAGAAAGAAAGAAGUCUCUCUUUAACAAGUUCAUCCCAUCUCAUGAUGCAGCAGUUCAACUCCAUACCAAUUCACAGCUAACGAUGCAAAAGUCUUGUAUCUAAUGAGCCUAGUACACAGGUAGAUUUUGAUGGCACCAACCUGGAUAUUGUUAAUCAAGGUCUGAGGAUCACAAACAAACUCAAUUGCCUCAGAAGCAUCAUCAGCAGCAAGUAGAGAUUUAGAGGAGCUUGACUUAAGAACCUCAGUAAGGCAAUCCCAUAGCUUGGGAAGCUUAUCAAAUAGCAAAACACCAAACUUCUCACACAGAAGCCUCAAUGAUAGCUCAGAUCCACGUCUACUUAUAAAUCCUUCCACCUUAGAUCGAUCCUCACCAGUCAGCACAUGCAUCUUUGACUUCUGUUUAUUCACAGGAGUUCUAUUUUACCGAAACACCAGCGGGAACUAUGAGAAGAUUUAAAACUGAAUUCCAUCAUUAAAUCAAGUUUUAAUCAUUAAACCAACACACUAUAUUCCGAUAAACGUAGAAUUAGACAGGCAGAGAUGUAAUACAUAUCAAAAUGGAAAACAACCCACCCAAACUCACAUACCAGAAAAAUUUAACAGUCCAUCUUACCUUCUCAAAGUUACUUUCAAUUCAGUGCACAACUUGUAAUCUUCAAUGUGCGAGUUAUCAAGUAGUUGCUCCAGAAAAUGUAAAUCUUCUGCAUUUCUAGAUAUACCUUCCCCUACUCCAAUUGGUUGAGGAACACCGCGUGCUAAAGGAAGUAGAGGUACAAGAGCAGCAAAGCUAUGGGUCACACUCUGUCUGACAGACUGAUCACAAUCACUCAUGCAUCGUAAAAGAGGAACUACCAGCAGAGGAGCAUAAGGAACCAACUCAACACCAAGCCCCUGAACAAGAAAGCUAAUCAACAUGCCUG
RNAcentral lists this long non-coding RNA (1766 nucleotides) under Cicer arietinum (chickpea). RNAcentral describes it as "long non-coding RNA (CARI_LNC001976)". Lineage: Eukaryota; Viridiplantae; Streptophyta; Magnoliopsida; Fabales; Fabaceae. The record is from RNAcentral.